Molecule: long non-coding RNA, 1755 nt
Filed under: Oryctolagus cuniculus (rabbit)
Lineage: Eukaryota; Metazoa; Chordata; Mammalia; Lagomorpha; Leporidae
Description: lncRNA (ENSOCUG00000037064.1)
Source: RNAcentral
AUGCUUCCCAUCUGGAACAGGACGAGAUCGCUGACGCACCACCUCCUCCUGCAGAUCCUCCUAUCCACCGCAACCAGCAGCUCUGAUGAGGGCAACCCCUACUGGGGGCUCCUUCGGGCGCUCCCUUUUCCUCUCCCUUUAUCUAACUCUUCCAAGAUCCUCCCCUUAAUGUACUUAGCCAAUGCUACUCUUGGUCAGCGCUACAACGUUCCGGCUGCUGACCCAGUAGCUUCGCCUAACUCUGCUUACGCUAGCCUGAAUCUCACCUUAUCUCUAGCCGGAUCUCUGUGCUUUCAGAUAAGCAAGGACGGUGUGGAUGAGUGCGGGUUUAAUCACACCCACCCUUCACCAUGCAUUGUUGUACUCCCUUUUGUUCUCAGCGAUUUUGUGAAUGUUUGCCACUCCAACUCUUCUUGUCAGAAUAAUUCCGGCAAUGUGGCCUCUUUCUCCUCUAAUAGCAUUCCACUGCGUUGUCUCCACUGCACUUCUAACAAGACUUUACCUAUUGUAGACCCCAUCCAGCAUUGUAAAUCCCCAGUCAACCCUGUAUGCCCUGCUUUCUCAUCUUGCUUAUCUAACACGGUUCGCGCGCAGUUAGGUCAUGGAUUCUUUCUCACUCGCCACGCAUUAUUCGGGGGCUGGACAGCCCUCAAUAAUUCAGUCAUUACCUGCUUUACUACUACAAAUGUGACCUGUUCCAACCCUCAUUCCAAUAACACCCACAUACAGCCGCUCAGUAACAGCAUACAGGCUUGGUCCAACCAAAAUAUGUUUGAAACCGAUGAGGAUGGUAGUGUGGGGGACCCAUUUGUUAUGUGUAAUGCUGCUGGAGCUUGUACAGCUAUCACACCCUUACUUUUCCUUAAAGGAUUCCAUUGGGCUAACGGCACCUUCUGCGGCUCGUACUACCAACCUGCUACCCUAACGUUAAAGUACUAUAACACAUCCCAUAAAGCUGAAGGCAGGGUCAAUUCUGUGUGCCUGAGCACGCCUUUUCUUUGGUAUGUUUGUCAAGACAUUAAUUGUACUUGUUUUUCAGGAAAUCUGACUAACUGCUGGGAUGGGAACCACAUGGCUGUCGUGGUUCGCAUUCCGACUUGGGUCCCAGUACGGCUACUGGUAUGCGAACAGGACUUUGCAGUCACCCUCUGCAACUGGAGAGACUUUGGUGCCACUGCCAUCGUUGUAGCCGUUAUUGCAGCCUUGUCAGCCGGCACGGUGGCCAUCGGUAUGGCGGUCUCUCAGGCUUCCACCCUAUCCACACUGGAUAACAUUACUAAGGACACGGCCACAGCGCUGGAACAUCAACAAGAAAUGGACCUACACCUCUAUACCAGCCUCCAAAUGCUAAAUCAGCAUGUAGAUGUUAUGCAGGAAGAGCUGGACUUAUUGGGGGCUCUUGCAGGUAUGCUGUGCUUACUUCAAUCCAUGUCCACUUGUGUUACUCCCUUUAAAGCAGCAGAAUUUUCUCAUUUAGCCAAUGACUCUAAAGCUUUAGGAAAAAUGAUAAAUACUAUAUGGAAUAGCAAUUUCACUCUGCUGUUAGAUAAGCUGCGACGUGAUAUAUUACGGUUAAGGGAAACCUCUCCUUCUGGUACAACUAUAUGGUCACCCUUUGCGACCCUAGGGUCCUGGUUCGGCAAAUCCUGGAACACGGUUAAAGAAUGGGUGGCCAUCGGGGCCCUGUCUAUUGUGGUACUCUUGUUUGGUUCUGGGUUAACUUCGCCUCCUGAUCUCCAUUAUACGCCGCCAUAG